This 522-nucleotide ribosomal RNA is filed under the name uncultured bacterium. Its description in RNAcentral is "bacterial SSU rRNA". It matches the Rfam family "Bacterial small subunit ribosomal RNA", at positions 777 to 1297 of the family's 1533-position model. The record is from RNAcentral.
AAUAGAUACCCAGGUAGUCCACGCCGUAAACGAUGAGUGCUAAGUGUUAGAGGGUUUCCGCCCUUUAGUGCUGCAGCUAACGCAUUAAGCACUCCGCCUGGGGAGUACGGCCGCAAGGCUGAAACUCAAAGGAAUUGACGGGGGCCCGCACAAGCGGUGGAGUAUGUGGUUUAAUUCGAAGCAACGCGAAGAACCUUACCAGGUCUUGACAUCCUCUGCCAACCCUAGAGAUAGGGCGUUCCCCUUCGGGGGACAGAGUGACAGGUGGUGCAUGGUUGUCGUCAGCUCGUGUCGUGAGAUGUUGGGUUAAGUCCCGCAACGAGCGCAACCCUUGAUCUUAGUUGCCAGCAUUCAGUUGGGCACUCUAAGGUGACUGCCGGUGACAAACCGGAGGAAGGUGGGGAUGACGUCAAAUCAUCAUGCCCCUUAUGACCUGGGCUACACACGUGCUACAAUGGAUGGUACAAAGAGCUGCGAACCCGCGAGGGUAAGCGAAUCUCAUAAAGCCAUUCUCAGUUCGGA